Molecule: non-coding RNA, 1269 nt
Organism: Pelobates cultripes (western spadefoot toad)
Lineage: Eukaryota; Metazoa; Chordata; Amphibia; Anura; Pelobatidae
Source: the annotation of a GenBank genome assembly
CUCCCUGCAUGCGACUUGCACAGCUUUCCUAAACACAUCCUGUAAAUUAUCAGCUAAUGUGUAGCCUUCAUUUAUUGCACGUUCUGUUCAAAUUUAGAUUUUCUUAUUCCCUGCUAUGUUAAUAGUUUGCUAGACCCUGCUAGAGCCUCCUGUAUGUGAUUAAAGUUCAAUUUACAGAGCAGGAGAUAAAAUAGUUUAAGUUAAUUACAUCUGAUUGAAAGUGAAACCAUGUUUUUUUUUUUUUUUUCAUGCAGCCUGUGUCAAAUCAGAGCCAGGGAAAAUGUGACAAGUGCUGCAUAAACAGAAACAAAGUGAUUUAACUCCUAAAUGGCAGUGAAUUAAGCAGUGUAACCUGAGAGGCAUGAUCUAUACGUUAAAACUGCUUCAUUAAGCUAAAGUUUUUUAGGUGACUAUAGUGUCCCUUUAAUUAUGAUCUGAACCAAUGCUGCUUCUAAUAAAAACAUUGCAGGUCUAUUCUGCAUUCGUGUUGAUCUGUUUCUCUUUAUUGAGAUGCAUUACAUCAAUGACUGAAGAUACAGAACAUCAGUCUUGCAAAUAUUGUAGGAUCAUAAUAGGAACCACCUCUAAUGGCUGUCUGUGUCGCUGACAGCCAUUAGAGAUGCAUUCUUAGCAACACAUUUAAACACUGCCUUUUCACAGAAAAUACACUGAUCUGUGGGACUGCAAGGAUAGUUCCUUUACACAAUUUCUGUAUUAACCUGUAGUGGUUCUGGUAUUUAGAACUUCUUCAAAAGGAUACUCAAAGCACCAAAACAAAUUUAGCUCAAUUAAGCAGCUUUAGCGUAAAGAUCAUGCCUCAGCAGUCUCGCUGCUCAAUUCUCUGCCAUUAAGGAGUAAAAUCCCUUCUGUUUCUGCAGCCCUAACCACAUCUCCCCUGGUUGCGACAGGCCUACAUGAUGAAAAAAAAAAUAUAUUUUAUGUUCAAUCAGGUGCGACAGCACAGUGUGUAUACUUUAGAAGUUUUUACCUCUUGCUCUACUAAUUUAACUUUAAUCACACACAGGUGGAUCUUGCAGACUCUAGUAGGCAAUUAACAGAACUGUUAAACAGACCGUGCAAUAAAGGACAUUAACCCCUUAAGGACACAUGACAUGUGUGACAUGUCAUGAUUCCCUUUUAUUCCAGAAGUUUGGUCCGAAGGUGUUAAAGCAUUAGAUCUCUCUUUAAAGACAUGUGUAGGGAUACUGUGUAGGUCACAUGCAGGGAGGUGUGACUAAGACGGCAUAAACAAAGUGAUUUAAAUGACCA